RNAcentral lists this unclassified non-coding RNA (274 nucleotides) under Hevea brasiliensis (rubber tree). Lineage: Eukaryota; Viridiplantae; Streptophyta; Magnoliopsida; Malpighiales; Euphorbiaceae. The record is from RNAcentral.
UGCUCAGCCUCGCGCCCAAGGGUGACGGUCAUCCCGUGCUGGUGCUGCCGGGAUUGAUAACCAGCGACAACGCGACGCGUCCGCUGCGCUCGUUCCUGAAGAGCCGCGGCUAUGCCGUGAGCGGUUGGGGCCUUGGCCGCAACUUCGGUCCGCGCGCCGGUGUGCAGGACGCCAUGAUCAAUCUCGUGCAGGAUCUCAACGAGACGCACGGCCGCAAGGUCAGUCUUGUGGGAUGGAGCCUCGGCGGAAUCUAUGCACGGCAGUUGUCGAAGAU